Molecule: ribosomal RNA, 453 nt
Filed under: uncultured Sulfuricurvum sp.
Lineage: Bacteria; Pseudomonadati; Campylobacterota; Epsilonproteobacteria; Campylobacterales; Sulfurimonadaceae
Description: bacterial SSU rRNA
Rfam family: Bacterial small subunit ribosomal RNA
Source: RNAcentral
UGGAGCAUGUGGUUUAAUUCGAAGAUACACGAAGAACCUUACCUGGCCUUGACAUGGUAGGAACCCUUAAGAGAUUAGGGGGUGCUAGCUUGCUAGAACCUACACACAGGUGCUGCACGGCUGUCGUCAGCUCGUGUCGUGAGAUGUUGGGUUAAGUCCCGCAACGAGCGCAACCCUCGUCCUUAGUUGCUAACAGUUCGGCUGAGCACUCUAGGGAGACUGCCUUCGCAAGGAGGAGGAAGGUGAGGACGACGUCAAGUCAUCAUGGCCCUUACGGCCAGGGCUACACACGUGCUACAAUGGGGCGUACAGAGAGCUGCGAUACCGCGAGGUGGAGCCAAUCCCUUAAAGCGUCUCUCAGUUCGGAUUGUUCUCUGCAACUCGAGAACAUGAAGCUGGAAUCACUAGUAAUCGCAGAUCAGCUAUGCUGCGGUGAAUACGUUCCCGGGUCUU